AGGACUGGAAUAUCUCCCCUAGUUAUUGGUUUUGAAUUUUCUUUCACCUUCUCUCUUGCAUUCUAGAAUCUCCAAUGAAAGCUACCUCUUUGUGACAAAUCUAUUACAAAUGGGUGUUUGUAAUGUGUAGAACAUCAGAUGUUCAAACAAGCUGUGCUUUUUCAUCUAUUACAUGUACUUGAUAGCACCAUCUACUCUGCUACCUAGAAGUUUCAGGGAACCUUUGAUGGCGUCUACCUGGGAGACUGCGCUUCGUCCUUGACACAGCUUCUGCUGCAGAGUCCUGACCUCCAGGUUCCAAAAUGAUCCUAAAGAUGCUGCCGUCUCCCAAACCAGAAUUCCAGUUGUUGGCAGGAUUCACCAUUGAGUUUAGAAAACUACAGGCUUACAGAUCCCCAUCAACCAACUUUAUCCUUGCCUAAUUUACCCAUCUCUGUAUGAUUGUACUUGAGUCAAGUCCAUUUAAGUGAAUAUAGUCAAUUCUAUCUAAAGGAAUACAGCCUGUUAGC
This is a long non-coding RNA of Balaenoptera acutorostrata (minke whale), 509 nucleotides long. RefSeq lists it as uncharacterized. The transcript is spliced from 4 exons. The record is from RefSeq and is a predicted model, not a curated record. Lineage: Eukaryota; Metazoa; Chordata; Mammalia; Artiodactyla; Balaenopteridae.